Molecule: ribosomal RNA, 468 nt
Filed under: uncultured bacterium
Lineage: Bacteria
Description: partial 16S ribosomal RNA
Rfam family: Bacterial small subunit ribosomal RNA
Source: RNAcentral
GACAAACGCUGGCGGCGUGCUUAACACAUGCAAGUCGAACGGAAAGGCCCUGCUUUUGUGGGGUGCUCGAGUGGCGAACGGGUGAGUAACACGUGAGUAACCUGCCCUUGACUUUGGGAUAACUUCAGGAAACUGGGGCUAAUACCGGAUAGGAGCUCCUGCUGCAUGGUGGGGGUUGGAAAGUUUCGGCGGUUGGGGAUGGACUCGCGGCUUAUCAGCUUGUUGGUGGGGUAGUGGCUUACCAAGGCUUUGACGGGUAGCCGGCCUGAGAGGGUGACCGGCCACAUUGGGACUGAGAUACGGCCCAGACUCCUACGGGGGGCAGCAGUGGGGAAUAUUGCACAAUGGGCGGAAGCCUGAUGCAGCAACGCCGCGUGCGGGAUGACGGCCUUCGGGUUGUAAACCGCUUUCGCCUGUGACGAAGCGUGAGUGACGGUAAUGGGUAAAGAAGCACGGGCUAACUACGUG